GGGCAGUUAGCUCAGCGGUAGAGCACUUCCUUGACAUGGAAGGGGUCACAAGUUCGAUCCUUGUACCGCCCACCA
This 75-nucleotide transfer RNA is filed under the name Rhodanobacter panaciterrae. RNAcentral's name for it is "tRNA-Val". It matches the Rfam family "tRNA". From Rfam's summary of the family: Transfer RNA (tRNA) molecules are approximately 80 nucleotides in length. Their secondary structure includes four short double-helical elements and three loops (D, anti-codon, and T loops). Lineage: Bacteria; Pseudomonadati; Pseudomonadota; Gammaproteobacteria; Lysobacterales; Rhodanobacteraceae. RNAcentral also lists the same sequence under 6 other names. The record is from RNAcentral.